UUGAGGUAUCCUUUUUGUGUGUCUGUCCAGGCCAACAAGUGUGCAAGGCAGAAAAAGGGAGACCGUGUUACAAGCUGGCCUAUUUCUCGGAGCUGCGCUGGAAGCUGAACUGUGAGGAGGCAGAGAAUGCUUGCAGGCGAGACGGAGGCCAGCUGCUAAGCAUCGAGUCUGCAUCUGAGCAGAAGGUCAUAGAGCAGCUCAUCAGAGAUCUUCGUCCCACGGAUGGAGACUUCUGGAUAGGGCUUCGGCGUGGACUGGGACACGAGGACAGCAGUUCGGACUGCUCGUCCCAGUACUACUGGCUGGACAGUGGAAAAUUCACGAUCAGUGUGUGUGGUGAUGUACCACCAACCGUCGGCUCCCGCAGAUCACGGUGACCUCUACAUGUUCCAGUGGAAUGACGACAACUGUGAAACCAAGAACAAUUUCAUCUGCAAAUACACAACAGAAAAGCCAGUGGAAAGCACUCUGUCGCCCACCUCCAGUGAGAAAGGUAAAUUACAUGACAGCACACUGUUAUUGGACAUUUCUGCUACUUUAAGGAAUAUAUGUAGAGUGCGAUCGCCUGAGACAUCAUUACAUUGCAGAGGUCUUUUUUUCAUCCGCACUUCCCAUGGGAUCCAAGUGACAACAACCAGGAAAUGAGAACAGGUCAAACAAAGUCUGCAAUUGCUGCCUAACAUUUACCCCAUACAUCUGUCUCUAUCUUUUAUCUGUGAAUUUAGUUUAUGUCAUCAUUCCCACGAUCCCACUCAUCCUGCUGCUGCUGACAGUGAUGGGAGUCUGCUGCUACAAACUGCUGCUCAGACAAUGAGAAGCUAAAUUAAUUAAAGAAAAUGAAAACAGACUACCGAAAAUAAAGAGGACUCCUCAUCAGUCAGGUGUACUUCUUAUAAUUCUACAAAAUAAUAAUAAACCAGGUUAUGGGACUGUUUUAAUUUCUAUUAUUAAAGAGGCAACAUUUCCUAGCUUUA
Girardinichthys multiradiatus is the source of this 974-nucleotide long non-coding RNA. RefSeq lists it as uncharacterized. The transcript has 3 exons. NCBI's taxonomy places the organism in Eukaryota, Metazoa, Chordata, Actinopteri, Cyprinodontiformes, Goodeidae. The record is from RefSeq and is a predicted model, not a curated record.